GACGAACGCUGGCGGCGUGCUUAACACAUGCAAGUCGAACGGAAAGGCCUGCUUUCCCUUGUGGAUUGCGGGUACUCGAGUGGCGAACGGGUGAGUAACACGUGAGUGAUCUGCCCCCAACUUGGGUAUAAGCCUGGGAAACUGGGUCUAAUUCCCGAUAGGACUGCAGGGUGGUGCCUGUGGUGGAAAACGAUUUUCUAGUGGUUGGGGAUGAGCUCGCGGCCUAUCAGCUUGUUGGUGGGGUAAUGGCCUACCAAGGCGGCGACGGGUAGCCGGCCUGAGAGGGUGGACGGCCACAUUGGGACUGGGAUACGGCCCAGACUCCUACGGGAGGAAGGAGUGGGGAAUAUUACACAAUGGGCGGAAGCCUGAUGCAGCGACGCCGCGUGGGGGAUGACGGCCUUCGGGUUGUAAACUCCUUUCGACCGCGAGGAAGCCACCUGGUUGGAAGGGUGGUGACGGUAGUGGUAGAAGAAGCACCGGCUAACUACGUG
Molecule: ribosomal RNA, 494 nt
Filed under: uncultured bacterium
Lineage: Bacteria
Description: partial 16S ribosomal RNA
Rfam family: Bacterial small subunit ribosomal RNA
Source: RNAcentral